GGCCCUGUGGUGAAGUUCAUGUUGAGUUGCAGGCUCAUUGAUGUACAUUGAAAAUGUGCCAGGGUCU
Molecule: transfer RNA, 67 nt
Filed under: Nycticorax nycticorax (black-crowned night-heron)
Lineage: Eukaryota; Metazoa; Chordata; Aves; Pelecaniformes; Ardeidae
Description: tRNA-Cys
Source: RNAcentral